GUGGGGAAUAUUGCGCAAUGGGGGAAACCCUGACGCAGCGACACCGCGUGAGCGAAGAAGGCCUUAGGGUUGUAAAGCUCUGUUUUAAGGGACGAAUGUCGUGGGGAGUAAUAUGCUCUGCGAAUGACGGUACCUUAAGAGGAAGCCCCGGCUAACUACGUGCCAGCAGCCGCGGUAAGACGUAGGGGGCGAGCGUUGUCCGGAAUUACUGGGCGUAAAGAGCACGUAGGCGGGAACUUAAGUCAGGUGUGAAAGACCGGGGCUCAACUCCGGGGUUGCACUUGAAACUGGGUUUCUUGAGGGCAGGAGAGGAAAGCAGAAUUCCUGGUGUAGCGGUGAAAUGCGUAGAUAUCAGGAGGAACACCGAUGGCGAAGGCAGCCCCCUGGGCCUGUACUGACGCUCAUGCACGAAAGCGUGGGGAGCAAACAGGAUUAGAUACCCUAGUAGUCC
This 451-nucleotide ribosomal RNA is filed under the name uncultured bacterium. Its description in RNAcentral is "partial 16S ribosomal RNA". It matches the Rfam family "Bacterial small subunit ribosomal RNA", at positions 354 to 796 of the family's 1533-position model. The record is from RNAcentral.